This 492-nucleotide ribosomal RNA is filed under the name uncultured bacterium. Its description in RNAcentral is "partial 16S ribosomal RNA". It matches the Rfam family "Bacterial small subunit ribosomal RNA", at positions 29 to 507 of the family's 1533-position model. The record is from RNAcentral.
AGUGAACGCUGGCGGUAGGCCUAACACAUGCAAGUCGAACGGCAGCACAGUAAGAGCUUGCGCUUACGGGUGGCGAGUGGCGGACGGGUGAGGAAUACAUCGGAAUCUACUUUUUCGUGUGGGUUAACGUAGGGAAACUUACGAUCAUACCGCAUACGACCUACGGGUGAAAGCAGGGGAUCUUUGCAGCUUGUGCGAAUGAAUGAGCCGAUGUCCGGCUAGUUAGUUGGCGGGUUAAAGGCCCAGCAAGGCGACGAUCCGUAGCCGGUCUGAGAGGAUGGUCAGCCGCACUGGAACUGAGACACGGUCCAGGCUCCUACGGGAGGCAGCAGUGGGGAAUGUUGGGCAGUGGGCGGGAGCCUGACCCAGCCAUACCGCGUGGGUGAAAGAGGCCUUCGGGUUGUAAAGCCCUUUUGUUGGGAAAGAAAAGCAGCAGGUUAAUACCCCGCUGUUCUGACGGUACCGAAAGAAUAAGCACCGGCUAACUACGUG